Non-coding RNA from Erinaceus europaeus (western European hedgehog), 189 nucleotides. The record is from Rfam. Lineage: Eukaryota; Metazoa; Chordata; Mammalia; Eulipotyphla; Erinaceidae.
AUUGCUUAUUGGCCUUUGGCUAAGUUCAAAUGUAGUAUCUGUUCUUAUCAUUUGAAUAUCUGAGUUUUCUUCUAUAUGAGGACAAUGUAUUGAAUGGAUUUUUGGAACUGGAAGUUGGAGUUGGGACUUCUUCAUCCACUCCAUGCAUCAACCCCUUAUUCCAGUACUUCCAGGAAUGGUGCACCCCAA